UAGGGAAUCUUCCACAAUGGACGCAAGUCUGAUGGAGCAACGCCGCGUGAGUGAAGAAGGUUUUCGGAUCGUAAAGCUCUGUUGUUGGUGAAGAAGGAUAGAGGCAGUAACUGGUCUUUAUUUGACGGUAAUCAACCAGAAAGUCACGGCUAACUACGUGCCAGCAGCCGCGGUAAUACGUAGGUGGCAAGCGUUGUCCGGAUUUAUUGGGCGUAAAGCGAGCGCAGGCGGAAUGAUAAGUCUGAUGUGAAAGCCCACGGCUCAACCGUGGAACGGCAUCGGAAACUGUCCUUCUUGAGUGCAGAAGAGGAGAGUGGAAUUCCAGGGGUAGCGGUGGAAUGCGUAGAUAUAUGGAAGAACACCAGUGGCGAAGGCGGCUCUCUGGUCUGCAACUGACGCUGAGGCUCGAAAGCAUGGGUAGCGAACAGG
RNAcentral lists this ribosomal RNA (429 nucleotides) under Bacillota bacterium. Its description in RNAcentral is "Firmicutes bacterium partial 16S ribosomal RNA". It matches the Rfam family "Bacterial small subunit ribosomal RNA", at positions 355 to 776 of the family's 1533-position model. The record is from RNAcentral. Lineage: Bacteria; Bacillati; Bacillota.